CUGAAACCGUGUACGUACAAGCAGUGGGAGCCUUGAUUUAUCAGGGUGACUGCGUACCUUUUGUAUAAUGGGUCAGCGACUUAUAUUCUGUAGCAAGGUUAACCGAAUAGGGGAGCCGUAGGGAAACCGAGUCUUAACUGGGCGAAUGAGUUGCAGGGUAUAGACCCGAAACCCGGUGAUCUAGCCAUGGGCAGGUUGAAGGUUGGGUAACACUAACUGGAGGACCGAACCGACUAAUGUUGAAAAAUUAGCGGAUGACUUGUGGCUGGGGGUGAAAGGCCAAUCAAACCGGGAGAUAGCUGGUUCUCCCCGAAAGCUAUUUAGGUAGCGCCUCGUGAACUCAUCUUCGGGGGUAGAGCACUGUUUCGGCUAGGGGGUCAUCCCGACUUACCAACCCGAUGCAAACUACGAAUACCGAAGAAUGUUAUCACGGGAGACACACGGCGGGUGCUAACGUUCGUCGUGAAGAGGGAAACAACCCAGACCGCCAGCUAAGGUCCCAAAGUCAUGGUUAAGUGGGAAACGAAGUGGGAAGGCUCAGACAGCCAGGAUGUUGGCUUAGAAGCAGCCAUCAUUUAAAGAAAGCGUAAUAGCUCACUGGUCGAGUCGGCCUGCGCGGAAGAUGUAACGGGGCUAAAC
Molecule: ribosomal RNA, 639 nt
Filed under: Providencia stuartii
Lineage: Bacteria; Pseudomonadati; Pseudomonadota; Gammaproteobacteria; Enterobacterales; Morganellaceae
Description: partial 23S ribosomal RNA
Rfam family: Bacterial large subunit ribosomal RNA
Source: RNAcentral